Molecule: ribosomal RNA, 468 nt
Filed under: uncultured bacterium
Lineage: Bacteria
Description: partial 16S ribosomal RNA
Rfam family: Bacterial small subunit ribosomal RNA
Source: RNAcentral
GACGAACGCUGGCGGCGCGCCUAACACAUGCAAGUCGAACGGAGCUGAGGGAAGCUUGCUUUUCUUAGCUUAGUGGCGAACGGGUGAGUAACGCGUGAGUAACCUGCCCUGGAGUGGGGGACAACAGUUGGAAACGACUGCUAAUACCGCAUAAGCCCACGAUCCGGCAUCGGAUUGAGGGAAAAGGAUUUAUUCGCUUCAGGAUGGACUCGCGUCCAAUUAGCUAGUUGGUGAGGUAACGGCCCACCAAGGCGACGAUUGGUAGCCGGACUGAGAGGUUGAACGGCCACAUUGGGACUGAGACACGGCCCAGACUCCUACGGGAGGCAGCAGUGGGGGAUAUUGCACAAUGGGGGAAACCCUGAUGCAGCGACGCCGCGUGGAGGAAGAAGGUUUUCGGAUUGUAAACUCCUGUCGUUAGGGACGAUAAUGACGGUACCUAACAAGAAAGCACCGGCUAACUACGUG